GCCCGAAUCUCAAAGCACCUGACUUGUAAAAGGUGAUGAAUUGUGGGCUACAGACCCAUUCGCCGGGGUAUGUAUCCAAGUCUCCAAGUCUCUUCUCUCCCUAGCUCUGCUAUUGUUUCGUUCUUUGAUUUCUUGUCCAGCGCGUCCGUACCACCUGGAUCUGAUGAAUUAUUUCGGGCAGAUCAUCUGCUGUCUGGAUAAACUGGUUAUUUGACUAUCCUGAACGUCUGUUGUCUGCUGUCUUGUCCUGAUUAUUUCUAAUAGAUCGUCUGCUGUCUGAAUAAACUGGUUAUUUGACUGUCCUGAUUAUUUUUAGUAGACCGUGUGCUGUCUGCUGUCUGAAUAAACUGGUUAUUUCACUGUCCUGAUUAUUUCUAGUAGAUCGUCUGUUGUCUGCUGUCUAAAUAAGUUGGUUAUUUGACUGUCCUGAUUAUCUGUUGUCUGCUGUCUGAAUAAGCUGGUUAUUUGGCUGUCCUAAUUAUUUCUAGUAGAUCGUCUAUUCUGAAUAAGCUGGUUAUUUGAUUAUCCUGAUUAUUUCUAGUAGAUCGUCUGUUGCCUGUUGUCCACUGUGUGAAUAAGCUGAUUAUUUGACUGUUCUGGUUAUUUCUAGUAGAUCAUCUGUUGUCCGAAUAGGCUGGUUGUUAAACUGUCCUGAUUAUUCCUAGUAGAUCAUCUAGGGGGUAUUUAGUUGGGCUCCUAAGCUGGCUUUUAGCUUGGUUGGGCCAGAUUUAUGUUGUUUGGUUCCCAGGCCAUCCAAUUGGCCACCCGUACGUCUGGAGCUAGACCCGGAAAGAAACAUC
Molecule: long non-coding RNA, 800 nt
Filed under: Sorghum bicolor (sorghum)
Lineage: Eukaryota; Viridiplantae; Streptophyta; Magnoliopsida; Poales; Poaceae
Description: long non-coding RNA (SBIC_LNC013551)
Source: RNAcentral